Molecule: transfer RNA, 71 nt
Filed under: Lotharella oceanica
Lineage: Eukaryota; Cercozoa; Chlorarachniophyceae
Description: tRNA-Ile
Rfam family: tRNA
About the family: Transfer RNA (tRNA) molecules are approximately 80 nucleotides in length.
Source: RNAcentral
GGUCCCGUAGUUUAGUGGCAAAACCCGCGCCUGAUAAGCGCGUAACGGCGGUUCGAUUCCGCCCGGGGCCA